GGUCUCUACACUUACUUCCAUGGACUCAUUAGCAGAGUUUUCCCUUCCUACCUUGGUCUACUCCUGCAGAAAAAUUUCUCAGCGUCUGAAAGAGACAAUGACAAAGGGUGGUCCUGUAUUGAAGAUGUUUACCCUGGGUCAAUCCAAUGAUGUCACCCCCUACUUAACAUCCUCCCGUGGCUUCCCAUUGCUUUGGCAUAAAAUCGCACAUCCUUGCCAUGCCCCACAGGCCCUGUCUGCAUCUCCAUCCUUAUCUCAUUGCCCUCUCUUCUUGGUUCCGGGAUUCAGCCUGCAGGUCUUCCUUCUGGUCCUUGACCCUGUGGAACCCUUCCUGCCUCAAGUGCGAAGACCUUGGAAGCCAGGCCCAGAUCUCUACAGGUGUCAGAAGGAAGGAAGAUUCCAGAGCCAAAGAGGAUGUUUCUGCAAAGCUGUGGGCAUACGAUUAAUCUGCAGGCACAAGGCAGUUCUGUGCCCAUCCCCACCAGCCCUGUGUGCACGAAUGAACCCAGUCUGAGAGCAGAGGCACCGAUUGUGGAGAGCCGGCUGGGUCCGAACCGGGCCUGGGGAACCCCAUAGCUGCCCAUGCCGGCGCGCUGUAUAAAUGAUUUCACACCUCGGUGGCCCAAUCAGUUGGGUGUAUCUCUGCUUAAAAUUCACUGGGAUAAAAUGUUUCCUUCUCUAUAGUCUGGGCAUGUUCUUGGCCCUUCAGGGGGGCCUUUGAAAAAGGCUGGUUUUGUAUUUAAGAGUAAAGUGUUGCUAUCAAGAAUUUUUAAUAUAUUCCCCAGCAAUUGAGAGAUGACACUGGCCUCGGAACGUCCCGAAACAGAGGCCUCUGAAGGGAUUUAGAGGCCUCCCGGAGAGCAGGAAGGUCGAGUUUCAGGCUCUGGGCUGAGGAGAGGCGACUCCAGGAUGCAGAGUGAUGUCAGAGGCAGGGAGGUGCUGCUU
This 945-nucleotide long non-coding RNA is filed under the name Equus caballus (horse). RNAcentral's name for it is "lncRNA (ENSECAG00000054758.1)". The record is from RNAcentral. Lineage: Eukaryota; Metazoa; Chordata; Mammalia; Perissodactyla; Equidae.